UUAAAAAAUUAAGAAACUCUUAAUUUGAAAAUUUCUGAUUUAGUACCAUUCAUGUUGAAUAUCAGCAGAAGCUCAAAAACUUCAACUAAUUUUCACAUCAACUAUUACACAAUUGUUGCUUGUCUGCUCUCUGCUUUCUAAAAAGUACUAUUAAUUUUUCUAACAAUCCCUAAAUUCUACGUUAGUCAUUUCAGCAUCCAAAGCUCGCGUCUACUCUAAGGGUUAAACACUCACGAUCACACUUUUUUCAAAAAAUCUUAUCUACUCUAAACAACCACACACAAAACAAAUAAACGUCGAACAUCUGAAAAAAUCGCUCGUAUUUCCACAGAAAUAAAGCACGAAAGGAAUUAAACGAAUCAAUCUAUAUCGAAAAAUGAAACAAGAUCCACAGAAACAACAAAAUGGCGUGAACAACGGAGCACACGGAGGUGUUAGUCUCCCGAGGCAUCCAGUGAGACAGCAUCUCUGUUUUUCAUUUUCCUUUUUUUGGAAAAACCAGAAAUCAUUAGAAGGCAAGAAAAUGGCUCGACAGAUCCUGAUGGAAAGUUUUGGAUGAAGAAGCAGGAUAACUCGUGGACGGAGCGGUCUUUACCUCCUGCGAGCUUUCGUCAUAGGAGGAACACGAUCAGGACGAAGAGGGCAUUCAUCAUAAAAAACGCGAACACGCUCUGGUCACGGAGGUCCUUUAGAUCUUUGGCGAUUCGGGCCUGAUGCAAGCAGCAUUCAUCCGUUAUUCAAUUAUUUGAUUAGGGGUUUGUGGUAUAUCGACGAAUAUAGACUGAGAAGGUCUCUUCCGGGUUUUGGGAAGUGCAAUAUUAGCAUUCGUCCACUUGAUGGCACCACAGCUGUCGUAAAUAUUAUGGAUACGUUCUGGAGCUUUUUAUUAGGGGAUAAGGUUAGGUCAAUAACUGAGGUGGAGUUAUAUAAUACAAAUAUAUGACUUCUAGAGAUUGUGCUAUAAACAGAUGAUUCUAUAUGCAAAUUGAUUAAGUAAUGCUUUUGAGGAAAAUGUAUUUGGUCCUCAAAAUAUUUGACAGAAGUUUUUUGUUAAUUUAAUAUUUGAGGAAAAUCGUUUAUCAUUUUUUAUGAAAUUGUUAAUAAUAAUAUACUAAUUAUUAAAGUAUGAUGAAUAUACAAGUAAUAUCAUAGGGAGCACUGAUUUAUAAGUUUUGAAGGAAGAAAAUGUAUUUGGUCAUCAAAAUAUUUGACAGAAGUUUUUUGUUAAUUUAAUAUUUAAGGAAAAUCGUUUAUCAUUUUUCAUGAAAUUGUUAAUAAUAACAUACUAAUUAUUAAAGUAUGAUGAAUAUACAAGUAAUAUCAUAGAAGACACUAAUUUAUACAUUUUGAAAGAUUAUUAAUAAUGAUUAUUAAAUUCAAUUCUCUUAAGCAAAUAUGACAAAAUAUUUUUCAAUUUCAACUUAUUUCUUUUUAAAAUAAAAUUUUUUGCUGGGAGUAUCAUCAAGUGGACAUACUACUUAUUUUCACCCUGUUCUCAUUGGUUGUUCUUGUAACUAUUCUUGUAUUUUUUGUAAAAGUGUCUAUAUUCGUUGAUAUUAAUUUUGUGUCAUAUUUUUAAAAACACGUUAUUUCUUAAAAUUGUUGUAAUAAUUUCAGCAACAUUUAGAUUUAUACUUAUAUAUUUUGGUUUCAAUU
Molecule: long non-coding RNA, 1656 nt
Organism: Megachile rotundata (alfalfa leafcutting bee)
Lineage: Eukaryota; Metazoa; Arthropoda; Insecta; Hymenoptera; Megachilidae
Source: RefSeq, a predicted model, not a curated record